AAAACCCAGUACGUGCGUGUUCCAAAGUCAGCUGGAGUUGUCAGAAAGACACUGAAGACAAAAAAGAAAAACAAAAAAAUCCUAAAACUAUUCCUGCACAAGAAAUCUGACAGGUGUAAACCGAAAAGUCUCUCUUAAAAUCUUCUAUUGAAGCGUCCAAGAUGACUAAACCAACCCUUAUUUAAAAGCAAUAAUUCCUACCUGAAAAAUAUCCCUAUACUUGUCCAGACGUCUGUGCGCCUUUUCCACUCUUUUGGGAACAACUGCAUGGUGUCUUUUCAAGUAGAAAAGAAAGGUAGGCCUCGGCCCAGACCUCUAACAUUAUGUAAAUGAGGCAAACCUCUCAACCUUGUGGAUUACUGAGUCAGAGAGCAGGACCCUGGUCCACAAACCCUCCACAUUAGGAUCCCAUAAAAAUCUGGAGCUGGUUGGCUGCAUGCAACGCUUAUGAGAGCUUAUAGUCCACAUUAAUGUAGUUGUCAAUCUAAGUUAACUUUUACAUCCAGGGAAUAUGAUGUGGCCAAGGCAUCGGGAGGCGGAUAAACGGACGCGCCAAGGAAAUGUGAAGAAGGCCCGGCCAAGUGGUUCUUUUUGUCUGGAAGGAUGUCAGCUCUCCGUGCCUGACCAUCUCUGAGGACGCUUGAUGUCAUCUUGUCUACCUGAUCAUUACACUACCUGCUCUCCUCUACAAUGCUGCCCUCUCGCUGCUCCGCCACUUGAAAUGCUUGGCUGGCCUCUUCUCUGAAACCAUCAUGAAAUUGUGUGCUAAAACGGUGCCGACUGUUCCUCCUCUCUCCUCCCUCCAGCCAUGAGUGCAGGAGCCAUAAAAAGAUUCCUCCACUCGGACCACUGCUGCUGCUCAGUCAACAGGAAAACACACAAAACACACUUCAGCCGUCUGCCACUGUUCACCUCUCACUGCUUUUAUUUGAUUUAUUGUUGUUUGCAGUGCGACUUGGGCAGCAGUGCCCAAGUAAAUGUAAUGGACGUGACCAGUUGUUUAAAAAGACAGACUUCAGCAUCGUGUAUUUUCAAUAAGAUAGCAAGGACUUUGUGAAAAGAUUAUCAUCUAUUCUCACAGUAGCAGGUUCAGCUUUGUUAAAUAGGUUAAAUUCAAUUUUUUUCAGCAAAUCAAGGCAAUGGUAACCUUUUGCUGUAACAACAAUAAUCCAUCCAUUUAUGCAAGUACACUUAGGAAUAUAACCACAUUCAGUAUUUCAUAGUUUGGAAGAAAACAAUGUCCAUUUUCUUAGUCUGCAUAUGGAUUUGUUGUAUAAUCAAUUUCUUUUGUUGCUCCAGAAAUUUACAACAGGCCUUUCUGAAGGUGGAAUAAGAAAAGCCCAGAUGUGAAUAUUAAUGUCUGAACUACAUUCGAUGCUUCAUUUUCAGGGUCCUUAUACUGUGUAUGAUCUCUCACUGUCACCUUACCAUUGUUAAUGUUUUUAGUAACGCCAGUGCUUUUCCUGCUAAAACAAGUCAGAAAGUCAACUGUCAAAUGUACUGUGAAUGGUGUGCAUGAGUCACCGCUAAAAUGCUGCGUCUAGAGCACUGAUAGUGGUUUCUGUUACUCUACACCAGGAGUCACCAACCUUUUUGAACCUGAGAGCAACUUCAAGGGUACUGAGUACUACGAAGGGCACCUUGUUUGAUACAAACUUCCUCAAUAGCAAACUUACGCCAUCAUCUUUAAACAAUAAUAAUAAUGAAAAUAAUAUGUAAAAAGACUGUCUGAACACAUUUAUGUUAAUUAUUCCUUACACUAAUUAACAACAAUGACGGCAGGAAACACACACACACACACACACACACACACACACACACACACACACACACACACACACACACAUAUGGAAAUCUGU
This is a long non-coding RNA of Amphiprion ocellaris (clown anemonefish), 1859 nucleotides long. RefSeq lists it as uncharacterized. NCBI's taxonomy places the organism in Eukaryota, Metazoa, Chordata, Actinopteri, Pomacentridae. The transcript has 2 exons. The record is from RefSeq and is a predicted model, not a curated record.